RNAcentral lists this long non-coding RNA (247 nucleotides) under Lathyrus oleraceus (garden pea). Its description in RNAcentral is "Pisum sativum (pea) long non-coding RNA (PSAT_LNC005101)". Lineage: Eukaryota; Viridiplantae; Streptophyta; Magnoliopsida; Fabales; Fabaceae. The record is from RNAcentral.
UUAUAUUAAAAUAAUACACAAGAUAAAUUUUAUAAAGUUUAAUUAAAAUGCAUUAUUAAUUUGGGAUUUUUUACAUAUUAUGCGGUCCCUGGUACGAUCCGCACGGGGGAGGUCUAACUACUCGUCUAGACGGCUCACAUGGUGGUGGUGCUUCCCUAUUCCCACCCCUAGUCGUAACGCGUCCCUUUGCCCUUUGCCGUUGUGGUUGGAUCGAAGUCCCUUCAAUGCUGUAGGAAAGGCGGGUGCC